Gorilla gorilla gorilla (western lowland gorilla) is the source of this 760-nucleotide long non-coding RNA. RefSeq lists it as uncharacterized. The record is from RefSeq and is a predicted model, not a curated record. The transcript is spliced from 3 exons. Lineage: Eukaryota; Metazoa; Chordata; Mammalia; Primates; Hominidae.
CAUAAGCCUUGAACCCAGAUGAUUUAACUCUCCUAUCUGGGCUUCGCCUAUGGAGAACACUGUGACAUACCUCUGCACCCAUCAUCUAGGUGAUGUGACUCUCCUCUCCUGCCUGGUUCUGGCUCACAGAAGGGAAUGUAACAUAUCUCUGGAUCCAGCACCUAGGGAAUGAAAAUACCCUUGAAGAGUAAAAAUAAAGUGACUGCUGAUUAAGCAGAGUUUCACAUGAAAAAAGGAUUCCUUCUCAGAUAAGAUUCUCUGGACAAAUUACACCGCAUCUUGAGACUAUGCCUUGAAAGGUGUCAGCACCACAUGUUUACCUGCUACCACCACACCCACAGGCAGAAGACCCAAAACAGAAAAAACUCCACCCAUUUCUGUACUUUAUAACAGAAGAGAUUCAGCAACAAUGAGCUGCUCUACAGAUAUAAAAAUACAAGUUUCUCCUUUCCUGUCUUCAGGUGCCCUCCCCUGCCAGCAAUUUCUGCUACAGUAACAAAAAUAUGAGCCACACUGCCCUGUCCCUAUGAAACCCAAAGAAAAGAGGCUCUAGGACUACCCUUUAGUGCACAGGUGAAACUUAACUCUCAUAAAUGUAUCUUGAACCCCCUAUACUUGAUUCUGGCCACAACUUAGAGUCACAUGAGGCAGUUAAUUAAAAUAACAUGAAUGCUUCCACCCAGAACAUUAAACAGAACCUGUGGGAAGGGCACCAGUAAAGGGAGUUCUGCAAACUGGCCAUGUGAUUGUAAUUAGCAGC